UUGUUUGCAGGUGCAGCAGCAUCAAGAUUCACACAUACACAAGUUCUACCUCCCAUAGUAGGGUUUUGUUUUGGUGUUGAGAAUCUUGAUGAUGCUGCAUCAGCAAUAAA
MicroRNA precursor from Lupinus angustifolius (narrow-leaved blue lupine), 110 nucleotides. It matches the Rfam family "mir-172 microRNA precursor family". Rfam says of the family: mir-172 has been experimentally verified in Arabidopsis thaliana. Lineage: Eukaryota; Viridiplantae; Streptophyta; Magnoliopsida; Fabales; Fabaceae. The record is from Rfam.